UGACCGACGCGCACGCUCUUGAGAGGUUUCUCCCUCCGCCCGUCGUGCACCCUUCCAUGACGGACUGGAGGGCGGAGGCGUCUCGGGUUAUCAAAGCCUUCGAUGACGCGCUUGGACGACCACCCUUUCCUGUCAACGCCCCAGAUGACCUUGUCAGCAAGGCCCAAGCGGUGCAAGGGACACUUGGCACCGUCGCCGCGGCCGGCAAGCUCGAGUCCCUUGAGGGGGUGAGCGAGGUGACCACAACGUUGCCCAUCCUUUGCGCUUCGCUCAAGGAGGGCACGCCGAACCACACACCAUGUCUGCGGCUUUAUCGUCCACUGCUGCUGGCGGCCGCCCACGCCAGCUCACUAUCCACCUAUCCCAUCUCGUACCUUCUACGGGAUGCAGAGCAGGUGCUGGCUCCUCAAGAGGUGCCUUCACUGAGCGGCUCAUCUGUGGCGUGCACCCUCGCCAGAGCUUCGACGGCGGCGUCGAGGGAAGUCGACGGCGACGACGCAGAGGUGGAGAAGGAGGUGACGCUCUUUACAUUCAUGGCGCUCACUCACUCUUUGACGCCGGCCUACAUGCGCCGCUUUCUUCGCUUAGGGGCGCUCGAGCCCCCCGCUGCUGGGAACGCUGCCAAUAGCAAACCUGGGAAAGGCAAAGGAGGCGCCUCACAUGCCGGCGAUACCGACAAGAAGGCGCAUCCUUCUUCUCCAUCUACCACCGCGUCUGGCGCCAAUCGGGCAGGUGAAGUUGGCGGUGGCUACUCCGCUGUGCCGUGUGCCCUCUUGCACUCCAUGAUCGAAGCGCCGCUCUCUGAGGAGUGUCGUGCCGUUUUCGAGUCCUUCGUCGACAACACAGCUAAAUUUCUGGCCUGCGUCGCCGGAGACGGGGAGCUGGCGCGGCGCAUCUUGGAUGUCUACGCGGGCCACCUCGUUCCGAAGCUGAAGCCGUCUUCGCUGCUCCCCUGCCUCGACGCACCACUGCUGGACUACUUCGUGGACGUUGUCGCAGCCUCGCAGCGCGCUGGGCACACUACCUUGCUCUCUAGCCGCGAGCUUCGCGACGUAGCGCUUCGCGCGUGGGACGCAGCGCGCCUCCGCCGACUUUGCUGCGCAGCAGUGUCGCGGUCUAUCGGCACCGAGGACGCCACGGCGAGUUUGCUGGUGUACGUAUUUCUCUACCUCAUCUACUGCGACCUCGGCUCGGACGAAACCCCAACGACUCCCCCGCCGUCUCAGCCAGAUACUGCGGCGACGGAGCCACGCCUGUCGGUGACGGAAUCGCACUUGAUUGCUGCCGUCUGCAAGGCAAGCAAGGCGGUCUUUCUCGCCGACAGAGCGUCGGCGUCAUGCGCGUCUGUGUCCUCGGCAUACGUGCAGUCCGAGCUGGGUGUUCUCCUGGUGGAAGGGAGCGCUCUGCCGAUGGCGCUGGCGCCUCUGCAGGUCUUUGGGGAUCUCCUCCUGGCUCGACCGGCCGCAGUGGCGCUCUGGCGGAGAGGACUGGUGCGGCAGCUGGAGUGGGGAACGGAAGACGCCACUUUGAUGAUGGCGACAGCCACAGCGUCGGCAUCAUUGGUGGAGGCAAGCGUCGUCAGCGUCCUUGAGGGUGUCCUAAGGGGCGUCCCGAGAUCAGAUCAAGGUGUCCGCCCAUCCACAAAGCAUGAACAGGAGUCUGCAAAGGGUGGCGCUGCCAAGUCCAAGCGAAAGCAGAAGAGCGCCGCCGGUCGAAGCGGCAAAGGUUCUCGUAUCGAUGCCGCAUCGAGCUCACCGAAUGGGGGGCUGCCGAGUGCUGCAGCAGCAGCCGUUCCAGCGCCUGUUCCUCUCUCGGAGCUGCUCUCUGGCUGCUGCACCUGUCUUCUCUUGACGGCGCUGCUGCGUGCUGGCGCAGAGGCAUCACGCGGUGAGGGCGGGAGUUCCGUGGAUAGUGUGUGCUAUCAAGACGGACAUGUGCUUGACUGCGUCGUUCGCGCGUACUCCUAUCUCUUGCAGCACCAGUCGCAGCGCCUCAGCGCUGCCUUGUGGCACAAGUUCAGCAUAUUCACAUGCUUCAUGUGGCAGUGGGCAAUGACAGCGUUGUGCAGAGACACUGAAGGCGGUGGCAUGACGUACCUUGCAUCUAUGAGGACGCUCCUGAGUGCACCGUCGACGAUAGCCGUGUUGACCGCUCUCACAGAGGACACCGGCAGCAUGUUGUGGCUGUCGCCCCUCUUGCUGCCUUCGUAUUUCUUUCUACCAUCCACUUCGAAUGCGGCUGCAGAGAUGCUGUCGCAGGUGUUGUGGGGCUCUCCCUGCCGCGCGCUGUGGAUCGCUGUUGUGCGUGCCGCUGCAAGUGGAGAGAUCGUGGGAGGAGGAGGGAAGACAGCCGGGCAAGCAGCCAAGACCACUUCUUCGCUGUUGACGCAGCAGUUGCACCCGAUCCCCCCCGCCUUUCUGCUCGGUCUGUUGUGCAGUCAGUGGAGCGACCCCAUUGUUGCCGACGUCGCGGAGUGCGUUGCCGCCACCACGGUGGGCGCUGGCGACGGCACGGCGCUGGUGGCCAGCCUGAUCCGCAUGCGCACAUCAAGCGCAUGCGCCGGUGAUGUAGCGCUGCCGCCAACGUGCGGUCUUGCGUUCGAGCGUGCGCCGGCGUCCGCUUCCCAACACGGGCUUCAGCGUUUGCUGGACGAGGUGGAAAGGCUGCAGGAAAAGUACCUCACCGCAGCGAAAUCGGCACGGCAGGAGGCGCACGAAGAGGAUCGCCAACGGAUGCAGGAACAGCUGCAGAGCAUUCGCGCACUGGCUGACGCGCACCGUGCUUUUUGCAAUACGGCAGAGGCGAAGCGCGCUGCGAGGACUGCUGAGCAGCAGCAUGUGCAAGAGGAGCUCCAACGCCGCCGCGCCGCCCAUGUCGCACGCCUCCGUGACGAUGCAGCGGCACUGGAGCGAAAGCGGCAGGUUGCACUCGAAACACUGCGGCGCAAAGCAAUGCAGAGCCGUGUAGACGCCGAGGCAGCUCGUCAGCGGCGCUUCGACUCCUAUCGGCGCCGCCUGGAGAGCGAAUACCGCGUAUCAACUUUCCUGGAGCACCUGCAGCUGUCCUCGGCCCGCGUGAUGGAGGUUCGGGAGGCUCUGCGGACCUUCAUGGACAGCAUCACCCCGGAUGACCUUCUCGAGUAUUUAGUCUCUGGAAAGGCGAAGGUGCCCGCGGACAUGCUCGACGGUGAUGAGGAUGUGAAUGCUGCCGAUGAGAUUGAGGCCAGUGGCGGAAAUGUGGACCAGCGAACCGCUCCAAGUACUAAGCGAGCAACAGAUCCCCAAGCACCAGUGUCGCCGCCACCACGUCCCCCAGCCACCGGAGAGCGGCGCGACUUCUGGGCAGAUGUUAUGGACGGAGCCUCGACCAAUAGAGGGACUGGCUCCCCAGGUGAUGAGGACAGCAGCUAUCAUCGAAUCAGUGAGACCGCUCCAGCGCCGACGAUGAGGACGGCAGAUGCUAAUGUGGCUCCCGCCCCCCACAAUCGCUCUUUUCACGCUCGCAUCGCGCCGUUGAUGGAUCUCUUCUGCUACGAUGACGGGGACGAGUUUGGUCGUGUCCCUGAUAUGCUGCCGAUCGUUCGCCUGCGUAUGGCGUCCCGUGUGUGGCCGGCGCCGCAGGUGCAGUCACUUGGCUUCACCGACGUGCGCGACGCUUUUGAGCGAAUGAGAGACCGCGGACUUGUUUGCAUCCAAGACGAUGUGGCGCAGCUCACCCUUCUCGGCUUUCGCUACCACUACCCGUUUCACGACCCGGAUGGGAUGCUGGAGGUACACCUGCGCGAGGCACGAGAGCGCGUGCGGGCGUUGGUGGAGGCACGGAAAGGCUGGCGACGCGACAACGCCACCGACGAUGAGGGCAGCAAAGGUGGCGAGGACAUGGUCGCCAAAGAAGAGGAGGACGAGGAAGAUGAGGCGAGUGUGUACCCCAGCGAGGAUCGACUUCUGCCAGAUGUGGAGUUUGGUAUUUAGUGCCGCUUUCGCGCAGUGCUGUCGAGCCUCUCGUGUAUCCGUGAUGAGGAGGGACGACGUGCCGUGUGCAUGCGCGAUUGCUGCUAUGCUGCACGGCUCGGUGGAGAGGAACGCAGCCGCAUCCACGAAUACG
This 4104-nucleotide unclassified non-coding RNA is filed under the name Leishmania donovani. RNAcentral describes it as "gene:LdHU3.30.3130(CDS-product:hypothetical_prote in_conserved)". The record is from RNAcentral. Lineage: Eukaryota; Euglenozoa; Kinetoplastea; Trypanosomatida; Trypanosomatidae.